UAGUUCACAUUCUCAGAGGGAAAUCAGGGUGCGACUCCCUGGCUGUGCCGCAACCGUAAAGCCGGAAAACCAAAUUC
This 77-nucleotide non-coding RNA is filed under the name archaeon GW2011_AR4. The record is from RNAcentral.